RNAcentral lists this ribosomal RNA (253 nucleotides) under uncultured bacterium. RNAcentral describes it as "partial 16S ribosomal RNA". It matches the Rfam family "Bacterial small subunit ribosomal RNA", at positions 524 to 776 of the family's 1533-position model. The record is from RNAcentral.
UACGAAGGGGGCGAGCGUUGUUCGGAUUUACUGGGCGUAAAGGGCGCGUAGGCGGCCCUCUUUGUCGCGUGUGAAAGCCCCGGGCUCAACCUGGGAAUGGCGCGCGAAACGGGGGGGCUUGAGUUCGGGAGAGGAGCGUGGAAUUCCCAGUGUAGAGGUGAAAUUCGUAGAUAUUGGGAGGAACACCGGUGGCGAAGGCGGCGCUCUGGACCGAGACUGACGCUGAGGCGCGAAAGCGUGGGGAGCAAACAGG